Long non-coding RNA from Leopardus geoffroyi (Geoffroy's cat), 902 nucleotides. RefSeq lists it as uncharacterized. The transcript is spliced from 2 exons. The record is from RefSeq and is a predicted model, not a curated record. NCBI's taxonomy places the organism in Eukaryota, Metazoa, Chordata, Mammalia, Carnivora, Felidae.
AACACCUGGAAGAUCAAAAGGCAUAAUUAAGAGAGCCACUGUCCACUGCAAAAGGUUCAGCAACACUUUUGUGUAAGACUAAGCAGAAAGAGUUUGAGAUUCAUGCCUCCCAUUUGAAGAAAGCAGGUGUAUGCAGGAAGUGUUCCCAAGAAGAAACAAGGCAAUAGUGAGAUAACUCAUAACCCAGGUCUAGGGAAUUUCUGGCUACCAGCCCCAGAUCUACUACUGAUAAUUAGUAGAUCAUUAUAUGGGUUCUGGGCAGAUGAGUUAAAGGCACAGGCUCUGGAGCCAAGACUGCCUGGGUCUGAAUCCCACUUCUGUCACUCACUAAUCAUGCGACCUUGCGAAAGUUACUUAACUUUCCGUGUCUAAAUUGUCUCAUCUGUAAAAUUACAAUAACAGUAUAUACUUCAUAGGUUUGUUGUGAUGAUUAAACGAGUAAAUAAGUGCAAAAUGCUUAGUAUAGGGCCUAUAACAGACUAAGCGCUUAACAGAUGUUUGGUGCCUUUAUUUUAUAAAUUCUAGUGUUGACAGCAGUGCAAGGAUUGGACACUGACGGUCUUAACACUUGCCAUGUCAACAUCAUUGGAUUGCAGCACUCAUCAAAUCAGAGGAAAACGACCACUGAACAUGGAUGCCAGCAUCGAGUCUUUAAAGCGGCACAAGGACUCACGUCUGGCUGUGUAAAUACAGCCACCCACAUUCAGUCGAAGAAUAUCUACCACCUUUUCUUCUGCCUUGUGACCUUCCAUUGCUCCCAUCAACACCUAAAUUUUUGCUUUGAAACGCUUUCAGAAACUGCAAAAUAAUGGUGGUCCUGGUCCACCUCUGUAAAAACAAAGGACAAUCACAUUUCCAAUAAUACACCAAAUAGAUAAUAAAAUAAAUACAUCUUAAUGUGA